RNAcentral lists this ribosomal RNA (301 nucleotides) under uncultured bacterium. RNAcentral describes it as "partial 16S ribosomal RNA". It matches the Rfam family "Bacterial small subunit ribosomal RNA", at positions 509 to 809 of the family's 1533-position model. The record is from RNAcentral.
CAGUAGCCGCGGGAAUACGAAGGGGGCUAGCGUUGCUCGGAAUUACUGGGCGUAAAGGGAGCGUAGGCGGACUGUUUAGUCAGAGGUGAAAGCCCAGGGCUCAACCUUGGAAUUGCCUUUGAUACUGGCAGUCUUGAGUACGGAAGAGGUAUGUGGAACUCCGAGUGUAGAGGUGAAAUUCGUAGAUAUUCGGGAGAACACCAGUGGCGAAGGCGACAUACUGGUCCGUUACUGACGCUGAGGCUCGAAAGUGUGGGGAGCAAACAGGAUUAGAUACCCCAGUAGUCCCUGUCUCUUAUAA